CCAAAUCAUUCAGCCCCUUUUCUCUUUCAUUCCUCCCCAUUUUCUAAGCUUACCGACUCACAAGAAGAGAACCCAAGUCAUAGGAAUUAAAAUUACACAAAACAGAUCAAGUUCUCACACUUUUAAGCUUGGAAACUGUAGAUUUUGAUGUUUAAUUCCAAUCCGAUUAAGGCCAUUUUAACACACGCAAUCUUCCAAAAGGACCAAACUUUUCACACAUUAACAUUGGAUUCGAGGUAAGUUGAAACUUAUGUUUUCUGUAUCACAAGAAUCAUAUGAUGUUUAUUUAUGUUUUGACAAAAUGGUUGUUGUUUAAAUGUGAUAUAAGGUUUAGAACAUUCAUGGUUGGCAUUGCACAUGUUUCUAGUAUAAGAGUUGAACGUAAUGAGAUUUUGCCAAAACGGAAGUGUGGUACUUGCUUGAUGGUCGGGUAGGCAAGGGAUGCCGGUGGGACCGGCAGACCCAACAAAAUGGUGGCAAAUACUUGAGGUUGAAAAACCAAGAUAUGGAAAGCCACGUUAAAUGUAAAAGAAUGCGGCUAAUACAUGAGGUUGUAAGACCAGUAUGAGAAACCCUGUAUUAUUUUUCUUAUUGACCAAUACUUAUGGACAGGUUCGGAAAACCACGGUCUAUCACUAUUGGUUAAGUAUCAAACUUCAAAGGUGACGAUGUACAGGUUUAGACGUUGAUUGAGUCUCCAGAGCUGUCAGACAGAGAUAUGUUCAUAUGCCAUUUGUCAAAAUAUAUAUAUAUAUAUAUAUAUGUCAAACAAUGGCAAUGACUUUAGCUUCAUGUUCGAUUUUUGAUUAAUGUAAAUGUUGUAUGUAAAAGAAAAACAAGAAAGCAAAAGAUGAAUUUCAAAUUCUAUGAUCUAUGUAAAUUCUUUGCAAAUAAAACCAUAA
Long non-coding RNA from Morus notabilis, 902 nucleotides. RefSeq lists it as uncharacterized. The transcript has 3 exons. The record is from RefSeq and is a predicted model, not a curated record. Lineage: Eukaryota; Viridiplantae; Streptophyta; Magnoliopsida; Rosales; Moraceae.